Nomia melanderi (Alkali bee) is the source of this 755-nucleotide non-coding RNA. The record is from RefSeq and is a predicted model, not a curated record. Lineage: Eukaryota; Metazoa; Arthropoda; Insecta; Hymenoptera; Halictidae.
GUGCGAGAAAAGAAGACGCAUCGGGAGAUCCCUGCAGUUAACACCUGCGGAGGGGAAAUUGUUCAGAAGGUCUUGCUCAGUCAGUCACGAUCGGAGCUCCUUAACAAUACUUGAACAGAGAAACAUGGAUCUAAAACGUCUAACGGCACACCUCUCAUCUGGAUAAUGUCUCCUGAGAACCAGCUAAGAGACUAUAAGGACUAUUAGUGGACUAGGAGUGGUCUAAACUAAGAAGUCUAGGUGGCCAGAAAGUAAAACUGGAGAUCUUUGGACAUGGAAAGCCAUUAGAAGUCUGUGUAUGCAUAUAUGCUUUAUCUACAGGAACUUUUCAUCGAACUAAUACUUCGUUUCAUUAAAUGUCUCUAAUUAACUGUGCGUUUCGAGGACACCGAAUGUACACACUGGCAUCAUUCAAGUUUAUCUGAGUGCAACCGAUUAUCCGAGAUGGAAGAAGUGAAACUUGACAACCGAUGGUGGGAGCAAUUAGCAAUAUUGUGCAGUCACGUAGGCAAACUCGUAUCCGCGAAUGCUGUCAGACAGGUUGAAGAUACCGCGCAAUGGUUCACUCGAAUGCUGCCUGAUUAGCGAGUCAAACUCUGGAUAUUACACGCUCUUCAGUGCACUCUGUCCUAAUAUGUCAAUACAUUCAUUUUAUCUGCACACAGUAAUAUAAAAUCUUGUUGCGAAUGGUCUACAUUUAUAUUUAUUUGCUGUGUUUCAUACAAGCUGUUCCCUUCACAUUUAUUUUUGAAAUA